This is a long non-coding RNA of Tachysurus fulvidraco (yellow catfish), 1369 nucleotides long. RefSeq lists it as uncharacterized. The record is from RefSeq and is a predicted model, not a curated record. The transcript has 2 exons. NCBI's taxonomy places the organism in Eukaryota, Metazoa, Chordata, Actinopteri, Siluriformes, Bagridae.
UCUAUUAUAUGUAUAUAUACUAUAUACAGAUCUACUAACUGUCAUCGCAUUGAUGAAAUAUACUGAAUGUUUAUUUGUGCUUUUAAUAGAAAUUAUUUAUAAAUGUGACAGUUCUUUCUGUUUUUUUUAAUAAACAAACUAAGUAGAAUAAAUAGGAUGAGCAAUGACUUUCAUUUAAAAUUAAAUUCUUCAUAAUCAACAGAUUUGUGAGCUUCAUGUUGAGUUCAUCACUGACUGAACUUCACAUCACUGAUGAUAAUUCAGAAACAGAGAUAACAGCACUCUUCACCAGGAUUUCCUCAUUCUCACCACAACAUUGUUAACCACAGCAAAAAUGCUUUGUCAUGGCUAAAUUACUAACUGCCCUGAAAUGGGUUUUUUUAUUCCCUCACCAAUUAUCCGGUCCCUCCUAUUUCCCAAGGAGAUGUGAACUGCAAAUUUCUAGCGUGACUACAGCUUUAUAGCGAUUCACAUGUUGGUGGCAUGUUACUCCUUAAUGAAAUUUCAUAUUACAUACAUGCAGCCCGGGCACAGUGUUUUAAUGCCCCAGCUCUAUUCGUCAUCAUGAUGCGUUAUGCCAGUAAAUUGUCUGUGUGUGUCUGACAAAGACAGCUAUAAUCACUACAUGAAUGAUUACAAAGUGAACUACAUUGCAAUAGCUUGAACAAGUACUCACCCCUGUGGAGAUCAUGUGACACUUUAAUUGCACUCCUUUCACCUAAUUAUGUCCCCUCUGAUGGCAGAUAGAGCUGCACCUGAAUCAAUUUACAAGUUUCAAGGCAACAAGGAUGGUAAAACAACCCAGUGAGGAAAAGUUUAAGGGGGUGAAUACUUUUUCAUGGUAGCUGUUUAUGGCUCAAACGCUGAGAAUGCAUUUCUCUGCUGAUCCGCCUGUGCGUGUCUGUGGGAGAAAGGGCAGAGAUAUGUUGCUGUACAGAUGCUUCAGGAAGCAGAAAGCAAGAGGAGUGUGUGUAUUUAUGCCGCGGAUGCAUUCCUUUGCUGGGAGAGUGCACAAAGUUCACAGACAGGAUGCAUCCUAUCUAUCCAUCCUGCUCUCUCUUUACACUCUAUGUACAUAUGUACAAAAUUAGACCCUCACAUCUGUCCUCAAAUGUUAUAGAAGACAACGUUUAACCGCUGGUCCUGAUGGGUGUCGUCUUUACUAACAAGGCCAUGAUUCCAUCCACAGAGCAUUGGAAAAUGAAUUGUUGUGAUGUGGAUGAAAACAAAAUAAGCCAGCGGUGGUCCAUGGAGCAGGAGGCUGAUAAACUGUCCAUAGCCACAGAUGGGCUAGUCAGUAUUUGUAUACCUUUAAAGUGACUGCCAAUAAAAAAUGUAACUAUGUAAUAAAAAAAUUUGGUAUACCUAA